This 565-nucleotide long non-coding RNA is filed under the name Olea europaea subsp. europaea. Lineage: Eukaryota; Viridiplantae; Streptophyta; Magnoliopsida; Lamiales; Oleaceae. The record is from RNAcentral.
GGGCAUACAAGAUUCAUAAAUAAAGUGAAUUUCUUUAAAGAUUCAAUAUAAUUCAGAAAACCAAAAACCCAAGAGAGAAACUGUAAAAUUGACCCGUAAAUAUCAUAAAGCCUGUUACCGUGUUGGGUGGCAACUCGAGCGACGGAGGUCACUGGUCACGGAGCGAGCAGCUGUGAGGGCCGGCCGAGCGUUAGGGUUGAAAUUGUUUUGUGGUUUGAUGAGUGCUCGUGUAAUUUAUGAAAGAGAGUGGAGAUUGGAGAAGAAGACGCCUAAGGAGGAGAUGAACUUCAAAUGAGGGCUGACGCCGUCACCUCGUCUGCCAGCCUGGUCGUCGUCCGGUUGGAGUUUGAGGCGGGACUCAAGGACUCUGGGAGCAAUCGAUUCCCCAGUCACCGGUGAAUGAGGGAAAAACGAUUGGAAGAUAGAAUUUCCUUUCUCAUUUCAAUUAAUCGAAUAUUAAAAAUAAUAAUGGGCCGAGGCCCCUGCAGUUCUGGGCCUGAGGCGCAGGCUCAUAUGCCUCGCUGCAGGAAGGCUCUCAGUGAUGUUAUUUCUGCCGGGAUUCCCG